CAUGGCUAGCAAGUUGUUCCAGCACCACUUAUAAACGGUUGAUCUUUCUGGCCACUUGCUCACAUGCUGUCUUCAGUGAUAUUUGGGCCAAUUCCUGGACUCAAGAUUUUGUUCCUUUUUUUUUUUUUCUGUGGUUCUUUGGCGCUAAGACCACACUGUUUUAAUUACUGUGGCUUUUAAUAUCCCAGAUAACCUCAUGACUCACCUUCUGCAGGUCUUUACUCAAAUACAGCCUUUUCUGUGAGAUCUUCCUCAAGCACCCUAUUUACAAUGCUGGCUUCCCUCUACCCCAACCCCUGCCCGCAACCACCUCCAUAUAGUCUCUGCUUUGCUUUAUUCUUCUCCUUAUCACAUGUUACCAUCUGUUAAUCGACAUAUUUUACUUAUUCAUUUGCGUACUGUCUGCAUAUCUAGACUAAGUUUCAUGAGAUGAUAAGUCCAUGAAAACAGGGAUUUUCAUUUCUUUGACUCACUUUUGUAUCCCCGGUGCCUGGAACACUGCCAAGCACAGAACAGAUUCCCAAAAAUAUUUAUUGAAUGAAUGACAAACCGGUAGAGAAAAACAUCCUACAUACAACCACUCCCCACCCCAAUUUUUUUUUCGAGAAUUCGUUGGCUCUUUUUACACAAUCUUUUGUCAUGAAAUAUAGUGCUAAAUUGACCAAGUCAAAAAGAAGAUCCAUGGGAUUUUGAAUGGGCCCAUGUUGAAUACACAGGUUAAUUUAGGAAGAAUUGACAACUUUACAGCUUUGAUUAUUUCCGAGGAAGAUCCAGUUAUUUCCCUAUUUUUUCAAGCCUUCUUUUAUUCCCUCAGUGUAGCAAAAUGAUUUUCUUUGUAAAGGCCCUAUGAAUUUCAUAUGAAGAUUGUUCCCAAUCAUGUUGUGAUGUUUUGUUAUUCAUUCACUUAUUCAAUAAAUGCUUCUUGUUGUCAAUCAUGUGCCAGACACUGUUCUAGGAGCUGGGAAUGCAGCAGUGAACAAAAAAUUGUUCUCUGCCCUCAUGGAUGUCAUGUUCUAAUAAGAAUGGAAUUCUUUUUUCCCUUAUAUUUUUUAACUAGCAAUAUUUGGUAUAAAAGAGAGCUAUUGAGUUUGGGGUACUUCUUUUAACAUAUCUUCUUACUAAAUUCUCUCAUCAUUUCUUUUUUUAAAGACUUUUAUUUUUCCCAUUAUAGUUGGUUUACAGUGUUCUGUCAAUUUUUUACUGUAUAGCAAAGUGACCCAAUCUCUCUCUCUCUCUCUCUCUCUCUCUCUCACACACACACACACACACACAUAUUUUUCUCACAUUAUCCUCCAUCUUUUUCCAUCACAAAUGACUAGAUAUAGUUCUAUUUUCCCCUUUUAUCUGUUGGCAAAAUGAAGUUUUCCAAUACAGUCCCUGUAUUUAUCCACAAUUGGAUUUCUGGAAAUUAAUUCCAUAUUUUUAGUCAAGAAGAAAAGUCACAAUUUUUUAAAAAUAUUUAGGACUGUAUAAUAUACCAGAAAUGAAUUUAGGUAUCAAAUUAUCUGAUAUGAUCCAAAUAUCUGAUAUGAUACAAUUGACAAUAGUUGUAUGCAACUGAUGCAAGUCAUUUUGAGAAAAUAUUAAUUUUUUACUCUUUGCUGGCAGACUGUUUAGGAACCUAACUCCCUGAGUCAGCUACUGUUGAGUCUAUUUUUUUAAUAAAACAUAAAACCAUGGUUCUCCAUUGAAAGUUAGAGAACAUAAAAUCUACUGAUUUCUUUUAUAUUACUUUCUGUUUGCCAAUUACUUGUACAAACACUGAAGUAGCUAAAGAUUUAAUUUGCAUAUCCAACCACAAUAAAACAAGGAUGCCUGAGUAAAGUCUUACAUCACAGCUGUAAACUAAGAUUUUCUGAGGAGUUACAUUUGUCCUAAUAAUAUAAGACAGGGAUUAAGAGCAAUUAUACAACACCCAUUUCUGCAACUAAAGAAAUGAGGUUUGGCAGCCUGAAGAGUCUUGAGCAUGCUAACGCUGUCAGUAGCAGAGCGUGGACAAAAACUUUAGUUUUCUGCUUCACAUCAAAUACUCUUUCCACCGUGCUCUCCCUUUCAUUCGGCAUUACCUGCGUCACUAGAAACACUCAAAUAUGUUUCUUCACUUACCUAGAAAUUGUUGUGUUACCUUUGCCUAUUAUUUUAGGAGGAAAUCAUUUCUUAUAAAAUUCACAUAUGGCUUUUGAUUUUGUGGCAUCCUUUUCCUGGAGGUUCAAAGAAUGAGCGUAUGCUUGAAGAGUAAAUUCUUACAACAGGUCUGUGGGGCGGGGGUGUGGGGAGCAGAAAUGAUGAGUCUCCUGUGAUAUAAAUCAACAUUCUAAUCGUUAAAAAAUAGAUGCACUCAUUCAUAAGUGUCACAAAACACUCCAAACUGAAUAGGAAGGAAUAUCUGAAUGGAACUGAUAACAGCCAAGCCUGAAGAGGAAGCACAACAGCCCAUUACGAGCUAUUGAAAAUUUCCAUAGAGAGAAAAAAAAAAAUGACAUACAGCAGGAAAUUCCUGACCAGUAGUGUAAUCUCUUACAUAAAAUGUGUUGGCAGAUAAAUGGAUUUUUAUGAUUUUGCUUACAC
Molecule: long non-coding RNA, 2568 nt
Filed under: Sus scrofa (pig)
Lineage: Eukaryota; Metazoa; Chordata; Mammalia; Artiodactyla; Suidae
Description: lncRNA (ENSSSCG00055008707.1)
Source: RNAcentral